AGAUAUGCGUUGAUGCAGGAGGUGGCCGCUCUCAGAAGCGGGAAAUUUCUGCGGAGUAUGUCCGAUUUUCAAACCGGGCGA
Non-coding RNA from Clostridium sp. CAG:413, 81 nucleotides. The record is from Rfam. Lineage: Bacteria; Bacillati; Bacillota; Clostridia; Eubacteriales; Clostridiaceae.